CAGUCGAGCGGUAACAUUUCUAGCUUGGUAAAAGAUGACGAGCGGCGCACGGGUGAGUAAUGCUUGGGAACAUGCCUUGUGGUGGGGGACAACAGUUGGAAACGACUGCUAAUACCGCGUAAUGUCUACGGACCAAAGGGGGCUUCGGCUCUCGCCUUUAUAUUGGCCCAAGUGGGAUUAGCUAGUUGGUGAGGUAAUGGCUCACCAAGGCGACAAUCCCUAGCUGGUUUGAGAGGAUGAUCAGCCACACUGGGACUGAGACACGGCCCACACUCCUACGGGAGGCAGCAGUGGGGAAUAUUGCACAAUGGGCGCAAGCCUGAUGCAGCCAUGCCGCGUGUGUGAAGAAGGCCUUCGGGUUGUAAAGCACUUUCAGUCACGAGGAAAGGUUAGUAGUUAAUACCUGCUAGCUGUGACGUUACUGACAGAAAAAACACCGGCUAACUCCGUGCCAGCAGCCGCGGUAAUACGGAGGGUGCGAGCGUUAAUCGGAAUUACUGGGCGUAAAGCGUACGCACGCGGUUUGUUAAGCGAGAUGUGAAAGCCCCGGGCUCAACCUGGGAACUGCAUUUCGAACUGGCAAACUAUAGUGUGAUAGAGGGUGGUAGAAUUUCACGUGUAGCGGUGAAAUGCGUAUAGAUCUGAAGGAAUACCGAUGGCGAAGGCAGCCACCUGGGUCAACACUGACGCUCAUGUACGAAAGCGUGUGGAGAAACAGGAUUAUAUACCCUGGUAGUCCACGCCGUAAACGAUGUCUACUAGAAGCUCGGAACCUCGGUUCUGUUUUUCAAAGCUAACGCAUUAAGUAGACCGCCUGGGGAGUACGGCCGCAAGGUUAAAACUCAAAUGAAUUGACGGGGGCCCGCACAAGCGCUGGAGCAUGUGGUUUAAUUCGAUGCAACGCGA
This 906-nucleotide ribosomal RNA is filed under the name Pseudoalteromonas sp. RNAcentral describes it as "bacterial SSU rRNA". It matches the Rfam family "Bacterial small subunit ribosomal RNA", at positions 59 to 964 of the family's 1533-position model. The record is from RNAcentral. Lineage: Bacteria; Pseudomonadati; Pseudomonadota; Gammaproteobacteria; Alteromonadales; Pseudoalteromonadaceae.